UUUAUCAAAGGAAAGAUAUACUUGCAUGGUAAAAGAACCAAUUAGUGACAUGGAUUAGAAUGAUGAUUCAUUUCCUAAAGAGUUAGAGAGUGAAUGUGAAUUUUUCAAACGAUUCUCGUACAGACAUUUUGUCAGAGACUGAACUCACUGGAUGUCUGUUUUCCGUUUCCCAUAAAAGUUUCUGUUACUUCUGUACGUGGUCUUCAAAAUGAGCUCCUAUAAACAUUUACGUGGAAGUGAAAAAAGAAAACGAAAAGCAGAUCGAGAUAAAGUGGCAAAACAAAUGAAAAGAUCGUUCGACAAAUUUUUAACUGUAGAUGGAGAACAAUUACAACAAUCGUCAUCAUUUUCACAAAUGUCACCUGCUCAAACUCCAGAAACAUCAUUUGUGUCCGAAACUAUGCUGCAAAAAGACCAGCAGGAAACCAAGCAAUUCCGUUUGUGAAGAUUAAACAAAAGGAGAAAAUAAAAAUUUAAAAUCAUCUCAAAGUAAUGAUGGAACUAAGAGUUUUGUAAAUGAUAUUGCAUUACGGCCAGAAUACUUAACAGACGCCAUUCGAGGGUAUUAUAUAAAAAAUCCACCAAAAUCAAUAAAUGGAUUUUUGGAAUCAUCUUCUAUUCGAUGCAACGAAGGGUCAAAACAAAUCACAAGAAAAUUAACUAUUGCCUCCUUCUUCAAAACAAUUAACAGCGGAGAAAAAGUUAAAAGAGAUUGAUUGGAUGGCUUAUACUGAAACCAACAACUUAUUGUACUGUUACGUCUGUAAAUUAUUUUUCAAGCAAACAUUGCUAAUGACAAAAGGGUCGAAUGAUUGGAAAAAUGUACAUAAAAAAUUGUCAGAGCAUGAAAACUCUAGUGACCACAUUAACUUCAUUUAAAUUUUUAUAACAAGAUCUAAAAUUACCGGACUCAUUGACACUGAACUGGAAAAAAACGAAUUAUAAAUGAAAAAAAAAAAAAAAAAAAAAAAAAAAAUAUUGGAGGGAAGUACUUAAACGUGUGGUAGACGACAAUCAAAUUUAUUUCUUCAUACUCUUUAGCGUUUCGUGGUAAAAAUGAAAUUUUUUUUAGUGAAAAUAAUGGUAAUUAUAUAGGUGCUUUGGAAUAUUUAUCCGUGUUCGAUCCAUUUUUGCGGGAACACAUGAAAAAAUAUGCAAACUGCAGCACCGGUACUAUAAACUAUUUAUCGUCUACAAUAUGUGAUGAAUUUAUUUCUAUUAUAUCGAAAGAUCUACAACUGACAAUAGUGAACGAAAUAAAGGAAGCCAAAUUUUACUCUCUAAUUAUUGAUUCAACACCUGAUAUAUCUCACGUAGAUCAGAUGACCGUCACUAUUCGCUAUGUUCUUCCAAGUGGUAUAAAAGAAAGAUUUUGGGGAUUUCUACCAAUAACUUGGAGAAAGUUAUUUUACAAUUUUUAAAUAAUAUAGAUUUAGACAUCACAAACUGUCGGGGACAGAGUUAUGAUAAUGCGUCUAAUAUGUCAGGUAAAUAUAAGGGACUCCAAUCCAGAAUAAAACAAUAUAUUUUUUCUGCCCAUUUUAUACCAUGCGCAAAUCAUUCAUUAAAUUUAAUUGGAAACGCUGCUGCCGAAAGUUGCAUGGAAAUGACCAUUUUUUUUUCAAUAUCGUUCAGGAAUUGUGCGUAUUUUUUUUCAAGUUCUAAACAUAGGUGGAAUGCAUUAUAAAAAAUUUGUAAGAGUACACUUGAGUAUUAAACCUAUUUGUGACACUAGGUGGUCUGGUCGUUCCGAUGCUGUGAAAUCCUUAAAGGAAAAUUAUGAAGAAAUUAAUUUUUUUACGUCAUUUUUCCUCAAACAAAGAUGAAAACCAUUAACAAUGUCCGAAGCUGCCGAUUUACAUAAAAAACUUGAUACAUUUGAGUAUGUACUGUUACUUACUUAAAAAAAAAAAAAAAAAAAAAAAAAAAAAAAAAGAUUUUAAGAGAGAAUAGAUGCUUCAAACAAGACUCUUCAACAAAAAGACGAAUCCAUAAAUACAGUAAUUUUAAUAUACGACUCAUUGAUAGAUUUCAUACAAAUUGUUAGAUGAUUUUGACAAAUUAGAAAAAGAAGCAGAAAAAGUUAAAGAUAUUCCAUACA
This is a long non-coding RNA of Stegodyphus dumicola, 2101 nucleotides long. The record is from RefSeq and is a predicted model, not a curated record. NCBI's taxonomy places the organism in Eukaryota, Metazoa, Arthropoda, Arachnida, Araneae, Eresidae.